This 460-nucleotide ribosomal RNA is filed under the name uncultured bacterium. RNAcentral describes it as "bacterial SSU rRNA". It matches the Rfam family "Bacterial small subunit ribosomal RNA", at positions 29 to 506 of the family's 1533-position model. The record is from RNAcentral.
AUGAACGCUGGCGGCGUGCCUUAGGCAUGCAAGUCGAAUGGUGUCCCGCCGUGAGGUGGGACGCAAUGGCAGACGGGUGAGUAAUAGUAAGGAAUCUACCCCAAAGUGAAGGAUAGCUCGUCGAAAGACGGGGUAAUCCUGCAUGUGUACCUUAAAUUUGUUCGCAAAUUUAAGGUAUAAAGGGCUUAACUGCUCGCUUUGGGAGGAGCCUUACUCCUAUCAGCUUGUUGGUGGGGUAACGGCCUACCAAGGCUAUGACGGGUAGUUGGUGUGAGAGCAUGUACAACCACAAUGGCACUGAGAUACGGGCCAUACGCCUACGGGUGGCAGCAACCAGGAAUAGUCGGCAAUGGGCGAAAGCCUGACCGCGCGACGCCGCGUGAGGGAUGAAGCCUUUCGGGGUGUAAACCUCUUUUGACCCGCCAACGAGGCGGGUAGAAUAAGCGCCUACUAACUACGU